UCGAGGCAGAAGUAGACACACUUGUCCUGGGGAGUCCAUGCAUCAUGCUGCUCUCCAGCCUGCUCUGGGUGUUCCUGGCCUUCACCUUCUCUGGAUAUGGUGUGGCUCAGAGUGUUACUCAAGACCAACCACACAUAGUCAGUGAAGUGGGGAAGACAGUCACCCUGAACUGUCGGUAUGAAACAAGUUGGGACAUGUACAAGUACUCCAUUUUUUGGUACAAGCAGCUUCCCAGUGGACAGAUGACUUACCUUAUUCGUCAGCAUUCAGAUGAUGGGAAUGCAAGGGACGGCCGCUAUUCCGUAAAUUUCCAGAAAGCUCAUAAAUCCAUCAGCCUCACCAUUCCAGCCUUAGAGCUGGAAGAUUCUGCAAAGUACUUCUGUGCUCUCCAGGACUCACAGUGCUUGAAGUAA
Non-coding RNA from Cervus elaphus (red deer), 413 nucleotides. NCBI's taxonomy places the organism in Eukaryota, Metazoa, Chordata, Mammalia, Artiodactyla, Cervidae. The record is from the annotation of a RefSeq genome assembly.